AGCCAGCAGCCGCGGUAAAACGUAGGUGGCGAGCGUUAUCCGGAUUUACUGGGCGUAAAGCGUGUGCAGGCGGUCGUUCAAGUGGUGUAUGAAAUCGCCCGGCUUAACCGGGCGGGGUUAGGCCAGACUGGACGACUGGAGUGCGGGAGAGGGACGUGGAAUUCCGGGUGUAGUGGUGAAAUGCGUAGAGAUCCGGAGGAACCCCAGCGGCGAAGGCGGCGUCCUGGCCCGCAACUGACGCUCAGACACGACAGCAUGGGGAGCGAACGGGAUUAGAAACCCCGGUAGUCCAUGCCGUAAACGAUGCCAACUAGGCGUCGGCGGUCUCAACCCCGUCGGUGCCGGAGCUAACGCGGGAAGUUGGCCGCCUGGGGAGUACGACCGCAAGGUUAAAACUUAAAGGAAUUGACGGGGGCCCGCACAAGC
RNAcentral lists this ribosomal RNA (426 nucleotides) under uncultured bacterium. RNAcentral describes it as "bacterial SSU rRNA". It matches the Rfam family "Bacterial small subunit ribosomal RNA", at positions 506 to 930 of the family's 1533-position model. The record is from RNAcentral.